RNAcentral lists this ribosomal RNA (497 nucleotides) under uncultured bacterium. Its description in RNAcentral is "partial 16S ribosomal RNA". It matches the Rfam family "Bacterial small subunit ribosomal RNA", at positions 28 to 507 of the family's 1533-position model. The record is from RNAcentral.
GAUGGACGCUGGCGGCGUGCCUAAUACAUGCAAGUCGAGCGAACAGACGAGGAGCUUGCUCCUCUGACGUUAGCGGCGGACGGGUGAGUAACACGUGGAUAACCUACCUAUAAGACUGGGAUAACUUCGGGAAACCGGAGCUAAUACCGGAUAAUAUAUUGAACCGCAUGGUUCGAUAGUGAAAGACGGUUUUGCUGUCACUUAUAGAUGGAUCCGCGCCGCAUUAGCUAGUUGGUAAGGUAACGGCUUACCAAGGCAACGAUGCGUAGCCGACCUGAGAGGGUGAUCGGCCACACUGGAACUGAGACACGGUCCAGACUCCUACGGGAGGCAGCAGUAGGGAAUCUUCCGCAAUGGGCGAAAGCCUGACGGAGCAACGCCGCGUGAGUGAUGAAGGUCUUCGGAUCGUAAAACUUUGUUAUUAGGGAAGAACAAAUGUGUAAGUAACUAUGCACGUCUUGACGGUACCUAAUCAGAAAGCCACGGCUAACUACGUG